GCCCCCAUCGACUAGCGGUCCAGGUCGCGGCCCUUUCAAGGCCGUCGCGCGGGUUCGAAUCCCGCUGGGGGCA
RNAcentral lists this transfer RNA (73 nucleotides) under Gaiellaceae bacterium. RNAcentral describes it as "tRNA-Glu". It matches the Rfam family "tRNA". From Rfam's summary of the family: Transfer RNA (tRNA) molecules are approximately 80 nucleotides in length. Their secondary structure includes four short double-helical elements and three loops (D, anti-codon, and T loops). Further hydrogen bonds mediate the characteristic L-shaped molecular structure. tRNAs have two regions of fundamental functional importance: the anti-codon, which is responsible for specific mRNA codon recognition, and the 3' end, to which the tRNAs corresponding amino acid is attached (by aminoacyl-tRNA synthetases). tRNAs cope with the degeneracy of the genetic code in two manners: having more than one tRNA (with a specific anti-codon) for a particular amino acid; and 'wobble' base-pairing, i.e. permitting non-standard base-pairing at the 3rd anti-codon position. RNAcentral also lists the same sequence under 2 other names. The record is from RNAcentral. Lineage: Bacteria; Bacillati; Actinomycetota; Thermoleophilia; Gaiellales; Gaiellaceae.